AUUGAACGCUAGCGGGAUGCUUUACACAUGCAAGUCGAACGGCAGCGCGGACUUCGGUCUGGCGGCGAGUGGCGAACGGGUGAGUAAUGUAUCGGAACGUGCCCAGUAGCGGGGGAUAACUACGCGAAAGCGUAGCUAAUACCGCAUACGCCCUACGGGGGAAAGCAGGGGAUCGUAAGACCUUGCACUAUUGGAGCGGCCGAUAUCGGAUUAGCUAGUUGGUGAGGUAACGGCUCACCAAGGCGACGAUCCGUAGCUGGUUUGAGAGGACGACCAGCCAAGAGUGGAGUAGGAGAGGGCCCGGGUACCACCGGGAGGCAGCAGUGGGGCGUGUGGGCGAAAGGGGGCAAGCCUGAAACAGCCAUGCCGCGUGGACGAUGAAGGCCUUCGGGUUGGAAAGCACUCUUGGCAGGAAAGAAACGUAGCGGGCUAAUACCCCGUGGAACUGACGGGACCGGCAGAAUAAGCACCGGCUAACUACGU
Molecule: ribosomal RNA, 483 nt
Filed under: uncultured bacterium
Lineage: Bacteria
Description: partial 16S ribosomal RNA
Rfam family: Bacterial small subunit ribosomal RNA
Source: RNAcentral